This is a long non-coding RNA of Hyposmocoma kahamanoa, 227 nucleotides long. RefSeq lists it as uncharacterized. The record is from RefSeq and is a predicted model, not a curated record. NCBI's taxonomy places the organism in Eukaryota, Metazoa, Arthropoda, Insecta, Lepidoptera, Cosmopterigidae. The transcript is spliced from 3 exons.
ACACCAAAUUUGACGCCCCUUCGUUGAAUCUGAUGUGUGGCGAGGAUCCUGAGCUCAAUAUAUGCUAUACAAACUUAGUUUGCACAGCUCUGAUUUGCAGCCUCUCACGUUUGUGAGUGCUCGUAUUAUGGAGCUGAUCCUGGCUUACCAUCUGGGCACAAAUCAACACGCAGUGGGUCCUCCAAGCAUGUUUUGUGGUCGUACCGUGUUGUUAAGGAGUGAGAAUU